RNAcentral lists this ribosomal RNA (449 nucleotides) under uncultured bacterium. RNAcentral describes it as "partial 16S ribosomal RNA". It matches the Rfam family "Bacterial small subunit ribosomal RNA", at positions 29 to 523 of the family's 1533-position model. The record is from RNAcentral.
AACGAACGCUGGCGGCAGGCCUAACACAUGCAAGUCGAACGAUGUAGCAACACAUAGUGGCGCACGGGUGAGUAAUGCAUGGGAACGUACCUUUUAGUGGGGUAUAACUCCGGGAAAAUGGAGCUAAUCCCGCAUACGCCCUGCGGGGAAAAGAUUUAUCGCUAAGAGAUCGGCCCAUGGGCGCUUAGGUAGUUGGUGGGGUAAUGGCCUACCAAACCUACGAUCUCUAGCUGGUCUCAGAGGAUGAUCAGCCACACUGGAACUGAGACACGGUCCAGACUCCUACGGGAGGCAGCAGUGGGGAAUAUUGGACAAUGGGCGCAAGCCUGAUCCAGCCAUGCCGCGUGAGUGAUGAAGGCUCUAGGGUUGUAAAGCUCUUUCGCCGAUGAAGAUAAUGACGGUAGUCGGAGAAGAAGCCCCGGCUAACUUCGUGCCAGCCGCCGCCGUAA